RNAcentral lists this transfer-messenger RNA (357 nucleotides) under Deinococcus phoenicis. Its description in RNAcentral is "Standard tmRNA". It matches the Rfam family "transfer-messenger RNA". Rfam says of the family: Bacterial tmRNA, also known as 10Sa RNA or SsrA, is named for its dual tRNA and mRNA-like properties. The record is from RNAcentral. Lineage: Bacteria; Thermotogati; Deinococcota; Deinococci; Deinococcales; Deinococcaceae.
GGGGGUGACCCGGUUUCGACAGGGGAACUGAAGGUGAUGUUGCGUGUCGAGGUGCCGUUGGCCUCGUAAAUAAACGGCAAAGCCAUUAACUGGCAACAACAGCGACUCGUUCGCCCUUGCUGCUUAAUUGACAGCACAGUGACCGUCUAGCCCGGCCUUUGGCGCGGCGCGAACUGAACCAAAAGAAGGCUAGCCCCGGCGAGAUUCCAUAGCCGCAGGCGAAAACAAAUGGAACUAAGGUCAGGUGGAACCCGCCUGCUGGUGGCACCCGACCCGACAAUCAAACAGCAGGCUACACACGUAGACGCACGCUGGAAGGACCUUUGGACGGCGGUUCGACUCCGCCCACCUCCACCA